This 200-nucleotide unclassified non-coding RNA is filed under the name soil metagenome. RNAcentral describes it as "partial contains 5.8S ribosomal RNA, internal transcribed spacer 2, and large subunit ribosomal RNA". The record is from RNAcentral.
AACGCACGAGACCUGCGGACCUGCGGAAGGAUCAUUAGCGAACUUGUGGAGAUGGGUUCUUGCCCCUCCCAACUUCCCUUCACCUCACUUGCGCACCGUGGGAGCAAGCGCUCCGUCGUUUUCUUUCUACCUAUCGAACGUUACAAGGCGACGCUGGAAAGCGAAACAAAAAAGAACACAACUUUUAGCAAUGGAUCUCU